GACGAACGCUGGCGGCGUGCUUAACACAUGCAAGUCGAACGGAAAGGCCCUGCUUUUGUGGGGUGCUCGAGUGGCUAACGGGUGAGUAACACGUGAGUAACCUUCCCUUGACUUUGGGAUAACUUCAGGAAACUGGGGCUAAUACCGGCUAGUAGCUCCUUCUGCAUGGUGGGGGUUGGAAAGUUUCGGCGGUUGGGGAUGGACUCGCGGCUUAUCAGCUUGUUGGUGGGGUAGUGGCUUACCAAGGCUUUGACGGGUAGCCGGCCUGAGAGGGUGACCGGCCACAUUGGGACUGAGAUACGGCCCAGAAUCCUACGGGAGGCAGCAGUGGGGAAUAUUGCACAAUGGGCGGAAGCCUGAUGAAGCAACGCCGCGUGCGGGAUGACGGCCUUCGGGUUGUAAACCGCUUUCGCCUGUGACGAAGCGUGAGUGACGGUAAUGGGUAAAGAAGCACCGGCUAACUACGUG
RNAcentral lists this ribosomal RNA (468 nucleotides) under uncultured bacterium. Its description in RNAcentral is "partial 16S ribosomal RNA". It matches the Rfam family "Bacterial small subunit ribosomal RNA", at positions 28 to 507 of the family's 1533-position model. The record is from RNAcentral.